UACGGAGGGGGCUAGCGUUGUUCGGAAUUACUGGGCGUAAAGCGCACGUAGGCGGCUUUGCAAGUCAGAGGUGAAAGCCCGGGGCUCAACCCCGGAAUUGCCUUUGAGACUGCAUCGCUAGAAUUGUGGAGAGGAAGUGGAAUUCCGAGUGUAGAGGUGAAAUUCGUAGAUAUUCGGAAGAACACCAGUGGCGAAGGCGACUUACUGGACACAUAUUGACGCUGAGGUGCGAAAGCGUGGGGAGCAAACAGG
RNAcentral lists this ribosomal RNA (252 nucleotides) under uncultured bacterium. RNAcentral's name for it is "partial 16S ribosomal RNA". It matches the Rfam family "Bacterial small subunit ribosomal RNA", at positions 524 to 776 of the family's 1533-position model. The record is from RNAcentral.